Equus quagga is the source of this 547-nucleotide long non-coding RNA. RefSeq lists it as uncharacterized. Lineage: Eukaryota; Metazoa; Chordata; Mammalia; Perissodactyla; Equidae. The transcript has 3 exons. The record is from RefSeq and is a predicted model, not a curated record.
ACAAGUUAGUUCCGCGGCUCCGGGGCCUCGGCGCCCGCCCGGGGAGCCGGCCGCGGCGGGCUGGGGAGGAGGGGGAGCGGGGAGGCGCCGAGGGCGAAAGAGUGGGGAAAAGUGCGAAAAGAAGCAACAGCCGCUCCACCCGAGACCAGAAAAGUGGCCGGCCGCGUCCGGGCCGCCCGCCCUGCGCCGGGGAUGCGGCGGCGGCGGCGGCGGCUAACGGUCCAGGGAGGCGGCAGGGGCGGCAGGAGCCGCUAGGCGGAGAGAGACCAGCUGAGAAAGCAGGUAGCCACUGGAGCUGUUGACAACCAUCUUUUGAGCACAAUGAGAGCCAGCCUUUGGAUGAAGUUGACACUGCAGAAGUUCCAGGUGGUGUGUACUACCCCUGGGACAAUUUGUCCCUCUCAGCCAGCUCAAAAGGACCAUUGCCUUAGAUGACACAGAAGAUGGAUGUUUUCACCUUGACCUUGUUGGCAUAUCUUCAUUAUUCCCACCCUUCCAACCGAUACUCCUCUUCCUCCUCCCAACCUGAGGGGCAAGUGGAAUCAAA